AUGCUAAGCAUAAGCAGAGCUCUCUGCGAAUGCGUUGCCUCUUCCAAAACUCUCGAAACUCUUUGGCUGUGCCUGAAAGUUUCGACGUCACAAGUAACCUGAGGACGUUUCUCUUUGAGAGAUGUUCCUCUACCCAUUUUUAACCAUCAUUACCUACUUUAAACUCAUUAGACUGAUAUGAACAAACAUUUAUUCUUAUAAAUGUGAAAA
Molecule: unclassified non-coding RNA, 210 nt
Filed under: uncultured Glomeromycetes
Lineage: Eukaryota; Fungi; Glomeromycota; Glomeromycetes
Description: sequence contains ITS1
Source: RNAcentral